Molecule: ribosomal RNA, 440 nt
Filed under: uncultured bacterium
Lineage: Bacteria
Description: partial 16S ribosomal RNA
Rfam family: Bacterial small subunit ribosomal RNA
Source: RNAcentral
CCUACGGGUGGCAGCAGUGGGGGAUAUUGCACAAUGGGGGGAACCCUGAUGCAGCGACGCCGCGUGGGUGAAGAAGCGCCUCGGCGCGUAAAGCCCUUUCAGCAGGGAAGAAAAUGACGAUACCUGAAGAAGAAGCCCCGGCUAACUACGUGCCAGCAGCCACGGUAAUACGGAGGGGGCAAGCGUGAUACGGAUGUACUGGGUGUAAAGGGGGCGCAGACGGCGGUGCACGUCAGGAGUGAAAGCCCGGGGCCCAACCCCGGGACUGCUCUUGGAACUGCGUGGCUGGAGUGCAGGAGGGGCAGGCGGAAUUCCAGGGGUAGCGGUGAAAUGCGUAGAGAUCAGGAGGAACACCGGUGGAGAAGGCGGCCUGCUGGACUGAAACUGACGUUGAGGUCCGAAAGCGUGGGGAGCAAACAGGAUUAGAUACCCUAGUAGUC